This 258-nucleotide ribosomal RNA is filed under the name uncultured Streptococcus sp. RNAcentral describes it as "partial 16S ribosomal RNA". It matches the Rfam family "Bacterial small subunit ribosomal RNA", at positions 1126 to 1382 of the family's 1533-position model. The record is from RNAcentral. Lineage: Bacteria; Bacillati; Bacillota; Bacilli; Lactobacillales; Streptococcaceae.
UUCAGUUGGGCACUCUAGCGAGACUGCCGGUAAUAAACCGGAGGAAGGUGGGGAUGACGUCAAAUCAUCAUGCCCCUUAUGACCUGGGCUACACACGUGCUACAAUGGUUGGUACAACGAGUUGCGAGUCGGUGACGGCGAGCUAAUCUCUUAAAGCCAAUCUCAGUUCGGAUUGUAGGCUGCAACUCGCCUACAUGAAGUCGGAAUCGCUAGUAAUCGCGGAUCAGCACGCCGCGGUCGAAUACGUUCCCGGGCCUU